Molecule: unclassified non-coding RNA, 154 nt
Filed under: uncultured Hypoxylon
Lineage: Eukaryota; Fungi; Ascomycota; Sordariomycetes; Xylariales; Xylariaceae
Description: sequence contains ITS2
Source: RNAcentral
CGACCCUUAAGCCCUUGUUGCUUAGCGUUGGGAAUCUACGGCGUAGUUCCUCAAAGUUAGUGGCGGAGUUAGGGUACACUCUCAGCGUAGUAAUCUCUCUCGCUCGUGUGGUGGCCCUGGCUGCUAGCCGUUAAACCCCUAUAUUUUCUAGUGG